UCAACAUUAUGGACGGUAGUGGUAGGCUAGGCCUGCGCCUGUACAUCAGUUGACAGAGUUUGAAGGUUCUACCAAGGAUGUCAACUGUGGAGCACAUACAGGAUGCAGAGCACAGUGAUGACGUAUCACCAUGGCAACGCGUACCGCUCAAGAUCACUUGAAUGAGAUUGUACCUGACACCGUUAAUUGUAAAGAGCGCCACCUGUUGUUUGGUUAUCGAUCAACAUUAUGCAGCAGAUAAUGCAGCAGUAGGCUAUAUAGGCCUGUACGUCAGAGUUACUUCUACAACGACGAUAGGUUCAACUACAACUAUGCGCAGGCCAAA
Molecule: long non-coding RNA, 325 nt
Filed under: Patiria miniata (bat star)
Lineage: Eukaryota; Metazoa; Echinodermata; Asteroidea; Valvatida; Asterinidae
Description: uncharacterized LOC119739083, transcript variant X2
Source: RNAcentral